Molecule: long non-coding RNA, 2590 nt
Organism: Alligator sinensis (Chinese alligator)
Lineage: Eukaryota; Metazoa; Chordata; Crocodylia; Alligatoridae
Exons: 5
Source: RefSeq, a predicted model, not a curated record
CUCCUGGCACCAUUGAGAUGGUCUCUUCUUGCACCCUGUAAACAGGGUUGUGCCCCCCCAACCCCUCUGAUCUUGGGGGAGGAGGCCUCCUUUAGCCCUUUGGGCUCUGUGGCAGCCGUGAUGGGAGGCUGGAGUCACGGCCUUUGUGUCCCCAGACACGGGGCUGCUUUGAGCCCUGAUUGAGACCACCUGAGGCACCCGUCAGCUGGCAUUCAGGGCUUUACAGGUUUUCCCUGGGCUUCAUGCCCCAUAGCCAGCUGUGUGCAGGUAGCACCGCCCUGUAAGCAGGGUUGCCGGUGUCGGGUCACCUUCAUGGUGCCAUCCUAGCACUUCUGUCCGGAGUCCUGGCCCGUCGCACUCUGCUCCUGGCUGGCCCAGAUGUCAGCAGCCGAGCCCGCAGACGGCUGCCCCCCCCACCUUCUGCGGGCGGACAGAGGACAGCGGCCACAGGUCCAGAGGAAGAAGCAGAGAAGACAACAGACAAAUAGGAGUUAACCUAUAACCAGGACAGAAAACGACAAAGUCCUCGAAAGCCGAGCGGCAAACGGCCGAGGUGGGAGGUAGCCAGCCAGGGAAAAGGGUGUGAAGGAAAGGGACUCUGGACACAGUGACUGCCCUGCCCUUAGGUUUUGGUCACGUAAGAGCCAAAAUGUGGCCGAGGGAGCCUUGGAGCAGUGGGACCUCCCUAUAAGCAGGAAGCAGGUCUCGGCUCUGGAGGUUGUUGCUCUUGCAGAGCUGUCAGGUGACAGGCAGACCUCCAUGUAAGCAGGAGGCUGCUUUCCUUGUCCCCUCUUUGAUUCUGAGGCUUCUUCACCUGGUGGCAGUGACCACACAGUGUGGCUGCCCUGUAACCAGGGCCCAGGGCCGCAGCUGACUAUUGAUGGGAGUAGCCACCUUGUUAAAAGGGUGUCUGCUGCUUCCUGCCCAGAGGUGAGACUGAGCUGUGCGGCGCCUUGUAUGUUGUAGCAGCCCCAUAACAGUAAGUGUGUGAGAGCCUUGCCGUAGCUGUCUGGUGGGGGAGAGACCCUCCUGUAAGCAGGGUAAAUGUCUCUUUCCCCUCAUUUCAGAGAACGCUGGUUCCUUGAGGGCUGUGACCUGCCUGUAACUUGGGCUCAGGUCUCCAGACUCCUCUUUUGUGCUGCCCCUGAGCUUUUCAGAAGCUCCUGCAGCCUUCGCUUUUCCCCCGCUGUAAUCAGGGGGUUGGUCACCCCCCGACCUCGGUUUGGGGGCUGAGGCCUCGUUUAGUCCUCUGGGCAUUGUGGCUUCUGCCCUUUCAGCCUCCAGGCACAGGGCAGCUUUGAGACUGCCUGAGGCACCCGUCAGCUGGCAUUCAGGGCUUUGCAGGUUUUCUCCGGGCUUCAUGCCCCACAGCCAGCUGUGUGCAGGGAGCAUCGCCCUGCAAGCAGGGUUGCUGGUGCUUGUGGUCACCGUUCAUAGUGCCACCUUAGCACUUCUGUCCAGAGUCCUGGCCCAUCGCACUCUGCUUCUGGCUGGCCCAGAUGUCAGCAGCCGAGCCCGCAGACGUCUGCCUUCCCCCAUCUCCACAGAUAGAGCACAGACUGGCAGCAGAUUCAGGCCCUGAUAGGAGAAGCCGGAAAGAUGGCGCACAAGCAGGAGUCAGCUGACAAGGAGGGAAGAGAACUAUGCAAAGCUGUCAGACGGACAAGCAGCGGGCGAACCACACCAGCGUGAAAAGCCAGGAAAACGGGAUGCGAAGGAAAGGGACUCUGGACAGAGUGAUCUCCCUGCCUUUAAGUAUCAGUCAUGUAUUACCCAGUUUUGACUGCAUGAGCUCUCUGUAACUAAGACAUGAGUUUGUGCCUUUGAUGCUGUUGCACUUCUGUGGCAGUCGGGUGGAAGCGGACAACCCUGUAAGCAAGGCGUGUGUCACCGCCACCUCGUUCGUAAAGGGUGUGGAUCUAGUUGGUGGUCUUGUGCAGCGGGGCCGCCCUGUAAGCAGGGCCCAGGCCAGCUGCCAGACAUGACUGCCAGGGGCGCAGCCUCCUGUAAGCAGGUGCAUGCUGCGUCUUACUGCAUAAGAAUGACAGGCAGUUUGAAUGUUCCUAGCGCUAGACGUCCUGUAAUUGGGAGUCAAAGUCCACUGCUGUUCCCGGCCAGUUGGAGAGGAGCCCCUGUAAGCAGGGUGGACGUAGCCUCCCUCCACUGGCGUAGACAGCCAGAGCAGUCUGCAGCGUUGUGCUGCAGGACGGCCUUGCAGACCGGAGCCGAGUCUCGUGGGGUGGCAGCCAACUCUUUAGACCCCAGAUCUUGACCUUCCCAUGGUCUGGGUUGAAGCCUGUGGCCUCCUCUCCAAUCCCUGUGUCCAGGCACCUGUCCUUUUUCAUACUUCUGUGCCUGGCACGCCACAUCUAGACAGCUGGGCCACCCUGUAAGGAGGAUGCAAGUCCCACGUCUCUUGGUGCAGGGCUAGAUUGCGCAGAGCUGUGGACCACCCUGUAAGCAGGGUCCAGGUCUCAAUGUGCCUUUGAGGGCAGCUCUGGGCCUUUCCCUUUUGCCCCCUUUGGGCAGUCUGACUAGUCAGACGGACCGUGCCCUGUAACGAGGGUGCGAGUCCCGUGCCCCUGGUGCA